ACAGGUGCUGCAUGGUUGUCGUCAGCUCGUGUCGUGAGAUGUUGGGUUAAGUCCCGCAACGAGCGCAACCCUUGUCCUUAUUUGCCAGCAAGUAAUGCUGGGAACUUUAAGGAGACUGCCCGGGAUAACCGGGAGGAAGGCGGGGAUGACGUCAAAUCAUCAUGCCCCUUAUGGCCGGGGCUACACACGUGCUACAAUGGUCGAAACAAAGGGAUGCAACCCCGCGAGGGUGAGCUAACCCCAAAAAUACCACCUCAGUUCGGAUUGUAGUCUGCAACCCGACUACAUGAAGCCGGAAUCGCUAGUAAUCGCGAAUCAAAAUGUCGCGGUGAAUACGUUCCCGGGUCUUGUACACACCGAA
Molecule: ribosomal RNA, 361 nt
Filed under: uncultured Clostridium sp.
Lineage: Bacteria; Bacillati; Bacillota; Clostridia; Eubacteriales; Clostridiaceae
Description: bacterial SSU rRNA
Rfam family: Bacterial small subunit ribosomal RNA
Source: RNAcentral